RNAcentral lists this long non-coding RNA (202 nucleotides) under Mytilus galloprovincialis (Mediterranean mussel). Lineage: Eukaryota; Metazoa; Mollusca; Bivalvia; Mytilida; Mytilidae. The record is from RNAcentral.
GUUCUGGUGGAUUUGCUUUAAUGCAAGAUUCUAGAGUUUACUCCAUACGUUUAUUAAUUGUUGUUACGAUGAUGUUAAUAUAACAACAACUGAAACAAUCUAUAUAAUUCUUAUUUUCUUCAGCAGUUAGUUUACUGAAUUUACUUUGCAUAUUAUAAAACAGUCAUUAAAUGUUCUCAAAUUUCUUCUCUAUUAAGCAAAU